RNAcentral lists this ribosomal RNA (485 nucleotides) under uncultured bacterium. RNAcentral's name for it is "bacterial SSU rRNA". It matches the Rfam family "Bacterial small subunit ribosomal RNA", at positions 35 to 507 of the family's 1533-position model. The record is from RNAcentral.
GACGAACGGCUGGCGGCGUGCCUAACACAUGCAAGUCGAGCGGAGUCGAUCGACGGAAGCCUUCGGGCGGAAGAUGGUUGACUUAGCGGCGGAUGGGUGAGUAACGCGUGGGCAACCUGCCUCGAAGACCGGGAUAACAGCCCGAAAGGGCUGCUAAUACCGGAUGUGGUCAAGGAUCCGCAUGGAUUUUUGAUUAAAGGGGAAACCCGUUUCGAGAUGGGCCCGCGUCCUAUCAGCUAGUUGGUGAGGUAAAAAGCUCACCAAGGCGACGACGGGUAGCCGGCCUGAGAGGGUGACCGGCCACACUGGAACUGAGACACGGUCCAGACUCCUACGGGGGGCAGCAGUGGGGAAUCUUCCACAAUGGGCGAAAGCCUGAUGGAGCGACGCCGCGUGAGCGAAGAAGGCCUUCGGGUUGUAAAGCUCUGUCUGGAGGGACGAAGGAAGUGACGGUACCUCCGGAGGAAGCCACGGCUAACUACGUG